GAAAUAUGAUUAAGUAAAAGCCGCUAACUUAUUACUUUAACGGUUAAAUUCCGUUUAUAUUUCU
RNAcentral lists this transfer RNA (64 nucleotides) under Margattea spinosa. RNAcentral describes it as "tRNA-Ser". The record is from RNAcentral. Lineage: Eukaryota; Metazoa; Arthropoda; Insecta; Blattodea; Pseudophyllodromiidae.